GACGAACGCUGGCGGCGUGCUUAACACAUGCAAGUCGAACGGAAAGGCCCUGCUUUUGUGGGGUGCUCGAGUGGCGAACGGGUGAGUAACACGUGAGUAACCUGCCCUUGACUUUGGGAUAACUUCAGGAAACUGGGGCUAAUACCGGAUAGGAGCUCCUGCUGCAUGGUGGGGGUUGGAAAGUUUCGGCGGUUGGGGAUGGACUCGCGGCUUAUCAGCUUGUUGGUGGGGUAGUGGCUUACCAAGGCUUUGACGGGUAGCCGGCCUGAGAGGGUGACCGGCCACAUUGGGACUGAGAUACGGCCCAGACUCCUACGGGAGGCAGCAGUGGGGAAUAUUGCACAAUGGGCGGAAGCCUGAUGCAGCAACGCCGGGUGCGGGAUGACGGCCUUCGGGUUGUAAACCGCUUGCGCCUGUGACGAAGCGUGAGUGACGGUAAUGGGUAAAGAAGCACCGGCUAACUACGUG
This 468-nucleotide ribosomal RNA is filed under the name uncultured bacterium. Its description in RNAcentral is "partial 16S ribosomal RNA". It matches the Rfam family "Bacterial small subunit ribosomal RNA", at positions 28 to 507 of the family's 1533-position model. The record is from RNAcentral.